GAAGAACAGAGGGAUGCAGGGUAGAAAAAAGCAUCCCGGAACGUGUGCUAAGGAAAUUUCAGCAGGGCUUAGUGCCACAGCAUCUCUUAGAAAUGGGUCUACCCCAGUGUCCCUGCUUGGUCACUGGCUAGAAGCAGCCUGUGGGAAGCGCGGCUUUGGUGCAAAUGUAAGGAUAGAGCUUGGAAUUCAGGAGUUGGGAAUCACUGGCCAGUUACCAUCCCUAUUUCCAGAGGGCACGCUCAUGGCCACUAUAUACAUUAUUAAAGAAUUCCCCCACACUGAGAGAAUGAAGAUGCUUUGCCACAUCUUUCUGAGGCUCAGACACUAAGAAAGCCUGUCUGGGGCUCAAAUAAGAGCACAUCCAUGAAAUCCAGACUCACAAAAAAAAAAAAUGCGCAACAAGAGCCAGUGGGAUUCAGGAUCCAGGCACCAUGGAAAUGUAUGGCAUUAAUGUUCCUGUAACAGAGGAUUCUGCUCUGUGGAGGAAAGGCAGGCUGUGAGAAAAGCCCUCUUUGGAUGCAAGGUCUCCCCCCAUCCCCUGCAAGUGACAAAGCUGAGCACACUCUAAGUACGGCAAGAACCCCCAUCCCUUAUGUUUUUAUUUUGCUUUAACUAGCACUUCUUGGACUGGUGUACAUUUGGAAGUAAAUCUGAUUAGUUUAAUCUCAGCACAAUUAAAAGUGACUAAAUGCUCAUAUUCUGGAAGCCAUUUCCAAAAUCCCUGCAGCCUUUUUGUGCGUUCCCUAAGAAAGAAAGUUGCCAUCAUUUGCGAAAGAAGCCAUGUGUCACCAAGGGGCAACCUCAAUAUGACUUCGCACCCCAGUCAAAGAAAAGUACUCUUUAAUAUGGAAGUUCUCUGAAGACUAUGUUGAUUUUGAAUGAAGGCACCUUUAGCCUAAGAAAAGCCAUGUGCUUGCUGUACAAACAAGGCUCUCAGACGAGUCCAUCAGUGCUGCAAUCUGGUCACAUCCACACCAUGGGGAAAUGGUGGAAAGGCAACUACUCAGGACUGUGUCCCCUGUAACAGGACCAUUUGUAAAAAAAAAAACAUGAAAAAGUGAGUAAAGUUUGCCUUAAAGGGC
Aethalodelphis obliquidens (Pacific white-sided dolphin) is the source of this 1082-nucleotide long non-coding RNA. RefSeq lists it as uncharacterized. The transcript is spliced from 2 exons. NCBI's taxonomy places the organism in Eukaryota, Metazoa, Chordata, Mammalia, Artiodactyla, Delphinidae. The record is from RefSeq and is a predicted model, not a curated record.